Molecule: long non-coding RNA, 4407 nt
Filed under: Dicentrarchus labrax (European seabass)
Lineage: Eukaryota; Metazoa; Chordata; Actinopteri; Moronidae
Description: lncRNA (ENSDLAG00005032902.1)
Source: RNAcentral
AUGAUCUGCAGCAUCCUGCUGCUCAUCAACCUGACCUCCUGUUUCUGUGGAACAUUUGUAGUGAAUGUGACACAGACCUCCUAUCAGGCAGAGGAGAACGAUAACAUCACACUGGAAUGGACGUUCACAACCAACACUGACAGUUCCCUCAACUCUCUUUAUAUCUACUGUAAACUGUUUACUGAUCACAAGGUUUCAGUCCUGUUUCAUCUACAUGAAGGUGUCGAGGUCUCAGAGUCUCAGGAUGCACAGUUUGCAGGACGAGUCCACUGCGACACAGACGUCCUCAGAGAAGGACGAAUCAGACUUCAUGUGUCCAGACUCAGGACUGAAGACUCGGGCCUGUACCUGUGUAAAGUGCUCACAAAGUAUGGUGUCAGUGCUGUCAAAAGUCAGCUCAGUGUCACUGGUAAGUUGGUUCAGUAGAACUCAGUAGGAUAACACGACUAAGAGUCUUAAGGGUUUUAUCAUUAUAUGACGUGCCUCAAGUGCUGCCCCUGGCACAGACAGGAAGCAGUCUGGAAAGUGGAGGAUAUCAGGCGGCAGCAGCAGGAGGAGGUGACGGAAAGGAGCAGUCAAGUUGGACCCGAAUCUAACCAGCAUGCGUUGUGCUUCGCCGGUGACCGAUUCUGCGCAGGCCUGGCUCAUCUCGAACAAGCCUAAUCUCCCGGAGCUGUUCAGGCUUGUGGUAACAGCAGAUCUGCACUGAUGACAAACUCUCCUUUGCUAUUACCACCCAAUGCUGUAGUCUUAGUUUAACAUGAUUAACACAACACAAAUUAUAGCUGACUUACAUACACCAAAGUAUCGGACAAAAUAAUAUUUUGACGUGAUGAUGGCACAAAAAGAAAAGUCGGAGGUUCACCAAAGUGAGAAUUCAUCCUGAUGAGGACGUGAAUGUCUGUCCUAAAUUUCAUGUCAGUCCAUCUAACAUUUCAUUCAAAACCACAAAUGUUAACCACAUGGUGGCGCCAGAGGAACAGGAAGGGACAGACCAAAAUCAGUGGGAUUCAUCUUCUGGGCACCUUGGAUUCUGUACAGAUCUGGAUCAUUAUAAUAGUUGUUGAGAUAUCUCAGUCUGGACAUAGAGCCAUGCUGCUAGUGUGACUAUUGUCUAUUGUGACUACUGUCCAUCAUUUUUUAAUAAACUAGAAUGAUAAUUAAUCAACAUAAAUAGAACUGACUUUGUUUAAGGAAUUACUGCCACAUCAACCCUUCUUGACCGGACUUUCUUUUUUACUGAAAGAAAUGCCAACGUUAUCAAGCGUUGUGUUACUGCAGAUUUUUUCUCCCUGUAAAUCAGCUGUGGUUAUUGGGUGUUCUAUUUCAGACAAUCAUCCACAUUUUUCUGUCACUUACAGCAGCUGCUGAUAAGCCCAAACCUCAGAGAGCAACAGUGAGACCACAACCAGAGAGUCCACAACCAGAGAGACCAGAGACUCGGGGAAGGAUCGGCCUCUACUUUGCACUGGGACUGACCGCAGCAGCUCUCCUGGCUGUGCCAUACUCUAAACUCUUUGCCUUCAGUCUUCUUUUUAAAAAAAUCUACUGAUUAUACAGAUGUGUUACUUUGUGUUGUUGUUUUUAAACAUAAAACAUUCAUUAUGAUCAUAUUCAUUAUUGAUUAAGUUGCUAUGGCAGCAGCUGUGUGUGUAGAUGCAGUUGGCGUACCUUUUAAUGAACUUUUUUAAUUGUAUUUUUGUACUUUACUGCUGAAUAAACAUGUCUAUGACAGAAAUUAAUUAUUUUCCGAGAACUAUUUCCUGGUCGCUGAUUCUUCAUUUUAAUUUUGGUUAAAUUACUUAGUGAAUGUGGUUUGUCCUUGUUUGACUUGAAAGUUUGAAAUUUUUUGUUUUACUGUGAAGUAAAAAGUUACUGUGUGAAGAACACAACAGGAACAGUCCCACAUAUUUCCUCUCAACAGUGUCUUUUUUUGUGGAGGGAAUAUACACAGGUGGUAACGUUCAGUCUGCAUGGUUUUUUUUCCUCCUUCCACGCACACCAGAGGGAGGCUCAACAUGUCAAUCAAAGUUAAACACGAGCUUUUUGAUAAAAUGUCUGCAGAGCAUUCAUACAGAUACACGAUUAAGUAGCACAAUGAAGGUCUACACAUUGGAAUUUGAAAUGUACUCCCAAAAAGUGACAUUUGAUUUAAAAAUGCAAGUCAUUUUGUUGUAUAAGUUUCUCAAAUACUUCAACUGACUAAUCGCCCCAUGACCUUUGGAACUGGAGGAGGAAACCAAAUAUUUUCCACCAGCUCUGGAUAACACAUAUCUGUUCUAUAAAACAACAAAUUAAGUUGUUUUGACACCUCUUAGUCAUUCUCACCUACCUUUGGUUUCCACAGAGUGCUUCCCCGAUUCUAUAUUACUACAUAUUUCUACUAUAAUUAGAAAACACAUUGUGAAGUUAUAAUGGCAACAUGCUGACAGGUGAUGAUGUAGAGAGCCACGUUGCUAGAAAAAGGCCUGAGAGGUUUUAUUUAGAUAUAAGAACUGUAUUGGUCACCCGCUUACAUUCAGCCCAAAUAAAGUAAUGUAAUACAGCCCUAGGUGGACCAGAUAUAGUAACCACUUGACACAGCAUAUCUCAGCCAAUCUGUCUCUCUGUCUCCUCUCUUGACCAGAUGAGCUACAAGGGCGCCCCUGACAAAUAGUUAAAUGAGGAAGCAAACAACAGUGCUGAAACUUGUCUGAUCUAACAUAGGGCCAGAAUAGAGUACAGACGGCUGACAUACGGCUCUGUCCAUAACUCACUGCUGUAUUUGGGCUGAAUGUAUGGACACAGAUAGUCACAGCGCACAUGAUGUAAACACAAUGUAUUCAUUCAUCCAUGUGGUUUAUUUGGGAACUGCCAUAAACAGUGCCACUUAAAAUGUGGCUAUCAUUAAUCCAAUUGAACUUUCAAUAACAUUUGAGAAAGUCUUCUUCUCAAUAAAUUAAUAUUUUUUCACAAAAAUGUAAAGCACUUCAUAUGACGGGCAAAUAAAUUAGUAGCAAAGUAACAUGAUACAUCCUCAAAACAACUGAAAUGAACAGACACCUUAAACACAGCAGUGGCAAGAACAUAACAGGUAGCUUUUAAGAUCUAUAUAAUCUAAUACAUGCAACCACUAUGAUGAAGAUGCCCAGCACAACAUCAGAAAGGAAAGAACAUUGAAAAAUAAUGGUUAAUCAAAGAAAAAGACCAGCUUUUGUUGGAACAUUUCUAAAUAAAAAACAAGAAUAAAACUCUACUGGUUACUCUUUUAGAACGAGUUAGGUGCCCUGCUCAAAGGCACUUUGCCAGUUGCUGUUAAGAAAGUAGAGAACACUUUUUUAUGUAAAAGUAAAUUGGCUCUGAUUUAAAUUUGCAAAAAAAACCCUAAAAAAAUCUGCAGGUGCAUUCCGCAAAACUGAGAAAUGAAUGUGAAAAUGUGUGUGGUAGCGACAGCUGGUUUGGGGUCAGUCACUGGAAAGAGCCAGUAAUUCAAAACAUUUUAAAAAGCUCUCAUCCAGGGUGUCCUUUUCCAUGUCGAAACCAAACGUGUUCAGGAAGGGGGAAAAAAAUCCAGCAUAUGAUGUUGCCAUGUCCACAAGCUGCAGGCGAGCUGCAGAUAAAGAGAAAGAGAGCAGAUGGCUUUCGAUUCUGUUGCUACACCACCUCAGUACAUUUAAACUGCCUCAUGACAUAAAUAACGUGGUGUGUAUUUAGGUUGCAACCGCCCCAAAGUAUUCAAAUAACUUCCCCUGUAAUGCAGAGUUAUAAAAAUAGAGAUGAAAUGCUGCUUUGCAUCAAACAAAAACCCCACACAAGCAAUUUGGAGAUAGACGUCCGACUAGUCCACUCUAUCAAAAUGAAGCCAAAGUAUCCCGGAUACAGCUGCUGUCAUCUUGCUCUGGAGACGCCAUUUUGAGUCUGUGCAGCUGUAAUCAGGCUUGGCUCAGCGGUAUUGAAGUCCCGCUGUGAAAACCCUCUUUUUAUUGCAUCAAAUAACCAAGAUUGACGUGUACUUUGAGUUUUUUUUAGGUCAGGGCUAACUGGGGUCAAUCAAGAUGUUUUGGCUUCACUUUUGGGAGCAGUCCAUUUUCAAUAAAGUGCUUCAGUGCAAAAUACCAUAAAUAGUUAAUUAAAAGAAAGUUAAGAUGCCUUCAAACUAAAUACUCUCAUCGCUCACUUUCAUGACAUGAAGUCAACAUUUGUUCAAACGUUGGAACUCUCCAGAUGUCACAUGGUCAAUGGUUAGGGUUCAAAACGGAGCAACUUACAGGAUUUCCUGCUGGUAGUUUGUUUCACUCCACACAUAAAUCCUCUCUUCCGCAGAUCCAGUGUCUCCAGCUGUGGCUGGAGGGGUCGCUGGUUUGAAUCGUUGAACUAAUUAGUAAGAUCCGCCGGUAGUGCUCUCAUCUCUGUUAGCAACGUCCAGCA